CCAGUGCUUUAUCCUGGCUCUGUCUUGAGCCUCCAAGGUACUGCGCUUUAUGAUGGGGCUGGGUUUGGCAGCCACUUCCCCGGAUGCAAUGUUUAUACCAGCAGCUAUGCAUAUUUCGGAGAUGAGGCUUGGAAAGAUCAUUGAGCUGUGCCUGUCUCCCAAGGUACCCACAUGAUGGAACUGAUUAUAGCAGAGAGUGGCAAGAUCAACCUUAUUACCUCGCACCAAGUGAUAAAGGAAUCCAGCUGUGGGAUCUGUGAAUGUGGUCCUGUGAGAGGUUGGCUCAAUGUUGUGGCA
RNAcentral lists this long non-coding RNA (297 nucleotides) under Olea europaea (common olive). RNAcentral describes it as "long non-coding RNA (OEUR_LNC010514)". Lineage: Eukaryota; Viridiplantae; Streptophyta; Magnoliopsida; Lamiales; Oleaceae. The record is from RNAcentral.